CUUGCCUUCUGGCUUGCUCCAAGUAGGGCACGAGACUCUGAAUCUCAGGGUUGUGGGUUCAAGCCCCACUGGGCAAGA
Podarcis lilfordi (Lilford's wall lizard) is the source of this 78-nucleotide non-coding RNA. The record is from the annotation of a GenBank genome assembly. Lineage: Eukaryota; Metazoa; Chordata; Lepidosauria; Squamata; Lacertidae.